UAACACAUGGUAACGUAAUUCCAACUAAAUUAUACAAAUGAAAACAUCCACAAUACAUAUCGUCAAGAAAUCACCUCUGCCCAGAUGAAGUUGUGACCAGGCAUGCUACGGUAAGCCUAUUGUCUCAUUUCCAGUUGCCAGUGUUUCUUUGUUACUGGUAACGUUUUUGAUGCUCUCAACCCAGUUAACUUUGCUAUAUUGUUCAUUAUAACAACUAAUUACCCGUUGUACAUUUAAACACACAUUUGUUCUGCUCAAGCACUCAUAGCUUUCUCCUUCUUUUAGUGAUUUUCUCGCUAAUCCCACAGUUGCUUACACCCCAUUCAGAUCUGCUAGCUAUUUUAGCUUAGCAGUUAGCAAUGGCUUCCCUCUCUCCCUCUCACUCUCCUCUUCUCUCCUCUCUCUCAUGCUCGGUGUGUCUCCUGUUUAGCUAUUCCUCUGCCUCCUUUAGUGAUAAUGGUACAUGUAAUUAAUGUACUUCAUUUGCCGUGAUCGAGGCGAAGCUGAGUGAAUUAGAAGCGUGGCUCACCGAAGCCAACCCAGCGUAGCUCCUUCAAUGUCUUCUCUCUUUCCCGCUCAGUUUAAUUAUAUUGAACAUUUGUAUAUAUUAUAUUUCUCUCAAGGAAAAUUACAUCAAGAUAAUUAUUGUUAUUGUUUUAUUGCCCAGCCCUAUCUUGAGUCUGUCAGAGCAUUCCUGCAUGCAAGUGGACUUUGUGUACAGAGAAAGAGGGUGCGAGCAAGCUUGUGCCGCAUAAAUGCUGGAGCUGCACUUCAAGCAGUGUUGCAGAGACCAGAAUGACGGUCUUAUCAGGUGGUGGAUCCAAACACAUUGUGAGACAUUGAUGGAAAUUACAAGCUGAUAAGUUUUAGGUGGACGAUAGUCAUUCAUGGGGCUAUAGAUGGGUAUAGUCUCCUUGUGAUCUUCCUGCAUGCCUCAAAAAACAACUGCAGCAGCACUGUAUUGGACAGCUUCAUCACUGCUGUGGUCCGCCAUGGCAUACCCUCCAGGGUCAGGACAGACAGAGGAUGUCUGUUGUUGUGGAACCGUGGACAGAAUUAGCAGGCUUGGAUAUUAAGGGGCUCCCCAAACAACAUUUUGGCAUUGACUGUGGAAUCUUCAUGAUAAUGAAUGUCCAUUAACAGUGAUGAGUGAAGUUUUAGCUCAGUAGUCAGCGCAGUCGUCUAUGAUCUCCAGUUCGAGACCCAGUGUGAUGACCCCCUUCAUAAGCUUGCUGACUUCAGAUGCACACAAACCAACCAACACAACUUUGCUAUAUUUGCAGUACUCCUGCUGCCUGAGGAAAUGUUGCACAUGAUCUUCAUGCUUGUGGUGCUACAAGACGGCGACCCUGCAAUCCAUAUCCUGGCUCUCACGUGCACACAUUUCUGGAGGAUAGUGAGAAAAGAAUCCUUUCUGAAGGAAGCACACUUCUGCUGGCUUCACAUGGUCGUAAAUUCCUUGCUGUGGUGGCUGCUAAAUGAAUCCUGGGGAAACACUGCCACCAGAAAAUUUCACAUAAAAAAAUCUGAACUUACAUUUUACACAUGAACCCUUCUUCUGUGAUCAGGUGUGGUGAACUGGAAUGCAUUUGCAGAGGAGUAUGGAAGGACCUACAGAACUCCAUAUGCAAUCUCCUGUUGCAUUCAGUGCAAUUCUCUCUGCAAAGACUGUGAGGGCUAUAGGGGAUGUGGACAGAGAGGAAAACUGCAAAGGAUUCUACUCGGAAAAUUACCUUGCAGGAUACUGCAGCACUGACUGUUUUUAUGUGGCUGGAGGCAUUUUAUGAUUGACCUCUUCAUCUCUACCUCACUGAAACAAGCUCCUGAGGAAUUAUUCCUGGGGAAUAAUCUGUCUUCUUUUCAUAAGCUGUAUCUCUUACACUUUGUUAUACAGGGCGCGUAGUUUCCUAUAAUUUCCAAGAAAAAAACUGAUGUAACUGUAACAAUUUCAUUCAUUUGAAAGACAGGGGAUCUGAUAUUGAUCAAGCUGAACCCAACUGGAAGUAAAAUGGAAACCCUGUUUUGCUGUUCCUCUUUUCCUGCAUCUCGUAAAGUCGCAUCUGUCAUGACUUGCAGGAAGUUAUUAUCCUGUCUAUUGUAUUUUAAUGUGUAAAAUAGGCUACAUUACCCUUGUUCACCCAUAAACUUUAGUCAGCAGUAAUUCGUCCAUGUCAAAACAAUGGAUCCCUACACCUGUUAUGGAGGACAUUAACAUGUUCAACCACAGAAAUUUUGUCAUAAUGACUCCAAUACUGCAUUUCUCCCUCACAUGAUGACCUGACUUAUCUGAGCCUUAUUCAGGUGCUCGUGUUGUGUGGCUGUAAAUAUUUGAAAAAUGUCAGUGAGCUCCAACUAUUGUAUGACUGGCUUACUGGACAACAACACACACAAUAACACUAAUUUCUGUCAUUUCUGUUUUUCUGCAUCCCUUGCUUCUGUCAGACAUGGUAAUUCUUUUGGCUUGAGAGAAGAAAUAUACUUAGAAGUUGAUGGUCCUGCAUUGCAGAAGUUAGAUUUUCUAGAUUUAAUUAGUACAGCAAUGGCAAGAUAAAAAGUUCAACCUGACUGGAAAAAUGAUAUUGCUCGGUUAACAAUAUAUAUGUAACCAUUACGAUGUAAUGUGUGUAAAGAAAUGGGAAUGAAUCAGAUAUACUGUGUCUAAUUUCAAUAAGUAAAUGUCAUCCUGUUCUCUGAAGCUAGUUGGUUAUAUUUGCCUCAUUGACAGUAAUUUACAUAUACUUAGGCUAAUUACCCUUGUCUGCAUAAUUUUGACAACAUAGCAGGAAGAUCAUGAUUGUCAUACAUUUUAAAUAUUGCCAAUAUUGGCAUUGCAAUGCAAAUGCAAACUCUGCAUUUUAAACACUCAUUGAACAUCAUGUUCUUCAAAGUAAAUUUUCCUUCAAAGUUUUAUUUUUUCUUCUUCGUAGCUAAUUAAAAUAGAUUUGAACAGAUGAAAGAAAACAAGAAUGCCACAAUGAUAAACAGAUGAAACCCAGAAUGCCCUCAGAUGGCCAUACGCAUAUAAGAAAGAAGGGUCGUGACUUGUAGUGGUCUUGCAGACUGCAGACAGAUUCUAUUGGCUGCUUCGGACUGACAGCUAACUUUACUCCUCCCCACACUGCAAGAAAUGCACUAGGCACACUGUAAAAAAUAUCUGCUGAACAGACGUCUUUCAAGCUCUUGGGGAGUUGUGGUCUUCCAUAUCUUCCAGUGCAGAUGUAUGAAUAUUCCGAGUUUGUUGCAUCCUUAAUUUCAGAGUGGCCUGCAGUCAAUUGCUAACUGGUAAAGUUAGCAAGCUGUAGGAUGUCAGAGGGUCCAUAUUAUCCAUCUAUGUUACUGUCUGACACCGAGCAAAAAUACAACAACAACAACAACAAGAACACAAGCACUCUUAAAAAGAAAAUCUUUAAGGUAAAAAAAAAAAAGAUAACAUAAUCCAAAAAAACUGUCAAGUCCCAAAUCAGCUGCAGUGAAGUACUUUGGCACUCGGUGACACAAUUCAAAUUUGAGAUCACAUGAUGCAUUUCUUUGGCUCAACCAAUCAGCUCCUGACUUCACAGACAGCCUGUCAUGACCUAAUAAACUCUGAGACAAAUUUAAAAACUGUUAAGUAAAAUCAAAUUCAAACUAAUGUUUAAAUUCUUUAAUUUGCACCAUGAAUUUGAGGGUUUUAUUUGAAAGUAUUACAAAAAUAAUCUUCAAAUGGGUGAUUUUCUUUAUAAAAGGGAAAACACAGUAGCUACCUUAACUAUAGUAACAUAAUGGUUUCUGCAGUAGUAUGAAUAUUGCUGUGAUUUUCUUCAGUAGUAUAAUGUUUGUGAUUUACCACAGUAGUAUAAUGUUUGUGAUUUUCUACAGUAGUAUAAUGUUUGCUGUGAUUUUCUUCAGUAGUAUAAUGUUUGUGAUUUACCACAGUAGUAUAAUGUUUGUGAUUUUCUACAGUAGUAUAAUGUUUGCUGUGAUUUACUACAGUAGUAUAAUGUUUGUGAUUUUCUACAGCAGUAUAAUGUUUACUGUGAUUUUCUACAGUAGUAUAAUGUUUGUGAUUUUCUACAGUAGUAUAAUGUUUACUGUGAUUUUCUAUUAUAGUGGGAUUAUUACGGUGACUUUCUACAGUAGCGUGUUGAUUACAGUGAUUUAUACAGUAUUAAGUUGAUUACUGUGUUUUUAGGCCUAAUACACAGUAUUAUACUGUAAAAAAAUAUUCACAGCAACUAACUGCACCGAAACACGGUAAAUUACUGUGGAUUUCACAGCCAUUUUUGAGGUGUGUGUCCUUUAGGUUUGAGUAACAGAGUUUUGUAUUCAGUAUAAACAGCCACUGCAAGCAACUGCAGGAUGUGUGUGUGUGUGUGUGUGUGUGUGUGUGUGUGUGUGUGUGUGUGUGUGUGUGUGUGUGUGUGUGUGUGUGUGUGUGUGUGUUGGGGGAAGGAUUCUGGAUGUAAGGGCUAAAGAGUGCUUUGGGAGUCGAGCCAGGAGGGAUGUUGCAGCAGCCCAGGCAGGAUGACUAAAGCAUGA
Molecule: long non-coding RNA, 4518 nt
Organism: Thunnus maccoyii (southern bluefin tuna)
Lineage: Eukaryota; Metazoa; Chordata; Actinopteri; Scombriformes; Scombridae
Exons: 8
Source: RefSeq, a predicted model, not a curated record